UUGCCACCUCUGAGCCAGGGUCUCUG
RNAcentral lists this unclassified non-coding RNA (26 nucleotides) under Mus musculus (house mouse). RNAcentral describes it as "oocyte_clustered_small_RNA1460". Lineage: Eukaryota; Metazoa; Chordata; Mammalia; Rodentia; Muridae. The record is from RNAcentral.